RNAcentral lists this ribosomal RNA (253 nucleotides) under uncultured bacterium. RNAcentral's name for it is "partial 16S ribosomal RNA". It matches the Rfam family "Bacterial small subunit ribosomal RNA", at positions 524 to 776 of the family's 1533-position model. The record is from RNAcentral.
UACGAAGGGUGCAAACGUUGCUCGGAAUUAUUGGUCGUAAAGCGCACGUAGGCGGCUUAGCAAGUCGGAAGUGAAAUCCCUCGGCUCAACCAAGGAAGUGCUUUCGAAACUGCUGAGCUUGAGUACUUAAGAGGAUCGCGGAAUUCCCGGUGUAGAGGUGAAAUUCGUAGAUAUCGGGAGGAACACCAGUGGCGAAGGCGGCGAUCUGGGAAGAUACUGACGCUGAGGUGCGAAAGCGUGGGGAGCAAACAGA